CCUACGGGUGGCUGCAGUAAGGAAUAUUGGUCAAUGGAGGAAACUCUGAACCAGCCAUCCCGCGUGAAGGAUGAAGGGGCUCUGCCUUGUAAACUUCUUUUGUCUGGGGCGACAAAGCUCGAUUUAUCGAGAACUGACGGUACCAGAAGAAUAAGCACCGGCUAACUCCGUGCCAGCAGCCGCGGUAAUACGGAGUGUGCAAGCGUUAUCCGGUAUAACGGGGGUUAAGGGGUGCGUAGGCGGCUGAGUAGAAAGGCUGUGGCUUAACCAUGGAAUUGCCAUUGAUACUGCAGAGCUUGAAUGAGGUUGAGGUUGGCGGAAUGUGACGUGUAGCGGUGAAAUGCUUAGAUAUGUCAUGGAACACCGAUUGCGAAGGCAGCUGACUGGACCUAUAUUGACGCUGAGGCACGAAAGCGUGGGGAGCGAACAGGAUUAGAUACCCCAGUAGUC
This 450-nucleotide ribosomal RNA is filed under the name uncultured bacterium. Its description in RNAcentral is "partial 16S ribosomal RNA". It matches the Rfam family "Bacterial small subunit ribosomal RNA", at positions 338 to 795 of the family's 1533-position model. The record is from RNAcentral.